RNAcentral lists this ribosomal RNA (497 nucleotides) under uncultured bacterium. RNAcentral describes it as "partial 16S ribosomal RNA". It matches the Rfam family "Bacterial small subunit ribosomal RNA", at positions 28 to 507 of the family's 1533-position model. The record is from RNAcentral.
GAUGAACGCUGGCGGCGUGCCUAAUACAUGCAAGUCGAGCGAACAGACGAGGAGCUUGCUCCUCUGACGUUAGCGGCGGACGGGUGAGUAACACGUGGAUAACCUACCUAUAAGACUGGGAUAACUUCGGGAAACCGGAGCUAAUACCGGAUAACAUGUUGAACCGCAUGGUUCAACAGUGAAAGACGGUCUUGCUGUCACUUAUAGAUGGAUCCGCGCCGCAUUAGCUAGUUGGUAAGGUAACGGCUUACCAAGGCAACGAUGCGUAGCCGACCUGAGAGGGUGAUCGGCCACACUGGAACUGAGACACGGUCCAGACUCCUACGGGAAGCAGCAGUAGGGAAUCUUCCGCAAUGGGCGAAAGCCUGACGGAGCAACGCCGCGUGAGUGAAGAAGGUCUUCGGAUCGUAAAACUCUGUUACUAGGGAAGAACAAAUGUGUAAGUAACUAUGCACGUCUUGACGGUACCUAAUCAGAAAGCCACGGCUAACUACGUG